GGAAGGAUCAUAUGCGGGGCGGAGUGGCGGGUCGUGCGCGGCCGUGUGUGUAGGUUUGGGCCGUUUCCAAACGGCUUGGCGCCGCUUUCUGGGCGGCAGGGGGAGAGAAUUCCUGCGACGGAUCUCUUGGCUCCGGCGACGAUGAAGAACGCAGCGAGGGGCGAAACGUGGUGUGACGCGCACUGUGGAACAUUGAGUAUUCGAACGCACAUUGUGCCCUCGCAGGGGGGCGAUGGCGCGCACGACUGCGCAGCGGCGGUGGGGCGGCGUGCGCCCGCGGGGUUGUCGUUUUUGGGAAAGCGACGGCAAAACGGCGUUUUCUUAGAAACGAGAAACUGCGCAAAACGCAGUGCUGUAUGAUGCGGCGCGGCGGGGGCUGUUAGUCGUUUGAAGAACAGCGCCCAGCAGUUGGGCGGCGCGGCGGUUUUGCGGCCUAGAAAACGGCGAGCUGUUCUGCGGGGCGGUUGCGCGGGAUUCAAAGGCAGCGGCACGGCGCCGCCUUUUCAAAAGCGGCGUGCGCGCCAUGGACGACCCGCCGAACUUAAGCAUAUCAGUAAGCGGAGGAGGAGAAACUAACAAGGAUUCCCGCAGUAGCGGCGAGCGAAGUUGGAGCAGCCCGGAUUUGGAAUCGCUACGCGAGUUGUGGUCCGAGGCGGUCGUUGGGGCGCGCGGCGCAACGUCCUGGAAGGGGCGGCCGCAGAGGGUGAGAGCCCCGUGGCGCCGCGGCGCGCCGGCGAGCCUCGAGCGAGUCGUGUUGCCUGGAACGGCAGCGCCAAGGGUGGUAGGCGCCAUCGAAGGCUAAAUAGGGCCGGAGACCGAUAGCGCACAAGUACCGUGAGGGAAAGAUGAAAAGGACUUUGGAAAGAGGGUGAAGAGGACGUGAAAUCGCAGGGAGCGAAGCGCACGCCGGCCGAUGGGCGGUGUGCGGCCCGUCUUGAAACACGGACCAAGGAGUCGGGCUGCGGCGCGAGUUGCCGGGAGACGCCCGGGGGCGCACCGAGAGGGCUUUGGCGGGGGUGUUGGGCUGGCGGCUCGCCGCCGGUUUGACGGACCUUUGCCAAUGGCAGCGUGGCGGCCCGGACCCGAAAGACGGUGAGCUAUGCCUGGCGUGGGCGAAGCCGGUGGAAACGCCGGUGGAGGCUCUUAGUGGUUCUGACGUGCAAAUCGAUCGCGGAAGCUGGGCAUGGGGGCGAAAGACCAAUCGAACCGUCUGGUAGCUGGUUCCCCC
RNAcentral lists this unclassified non-coding RNA (1228 nucleotides) under uncultured fungus. RNAcentral's name for it is "sequence contains 18S rRNA gene, ITS1, 5.8S rRNA gene, ITS2, 28S rRNA gene". The stretch from base 520 to 1228 matches the Rfam family "Eukaryotic large subunit ribosomal RNA", at positions 1 to 961 of the family's 3401-position model. Lineage: Eukaryota; Fungi. The record is from RNAcentral.